CCCGGGUACCAAGAUUUAUGUUGGGGAGGAGACCAUUUGGCAAGAAUUCAUUUAUGAGGAUUUAUCAGAGACAUGUUACUCUUGUGGUCGGUUGUUGAUUGAUGAGGCUAUGUGUGGAUGUUUGGAAGGUGGAAACACUCAGGUUAAACCUGGCUAUGGCCCCUGGAUCAGGGCUUCUAGGGUGCUGGAGCAAACAAGCUGUCAAGGGGAUUCAGCA
This 217-nucleotide long non-coding RNA is filed under the name Elaeis guineensis (African oil palm). RNAcentral's name for it is "long non-coding RNA (EGUI_LNC028789)". Lineage: Eukaryota; Viridiplantae; Streptophyta; Magnoliopsida; Arecales; Arecaceae. The record is from RNAcentral.